RNAcentral lists this ribosomal RNA (1040 nucleotides) under uncultured bacterium. RNAcentral describes it as "bacterial SSU rRNA". It matches the Rfam family "Bacterial small subunit ribosomal RNA", at positions 56 to 1104 of the family's 1533-position model. The record is from RNAcentral.
UGCAGUCGAGGGGUAGAGGAAGCUUGCUUCCUUGAGACCGGCGCACGGGUGCGUAACGCGUAUGCAACCUACCUUUUACAGAGGGAUGGCCCAGAGAAAUUUGGAUUAAUACCUCAUGGUAUAUAUCAUUCGCAUGUUUGAUAUAUUAAAGUUCCAACGGUAAAAGAUGGGCAUGCGUCCUAUUAGCUAGAUGGUAAGGUAACGGCUUACCAUGGCAACGAUAGGUAGGGGUCCUGAGAGGGAGAUCCCCCACACUGGUACUGAGACACGGACCAGACUCCUACGGGAGGCAGCAGUGAGGAAUAUUGGACAAUGGGCGCAAGCCUGAUCCAGCCAUGCCGCGUGCAGGAAGAAGCAUCUAUGGUGUGUAAACUGCUUUUGUACGGGAAGAAACACUCCUUCGUGAAGGAGCUUGACGGUACCGUAAGAAUAAGGAUCGGCUAACUCCGUGCCAGCAGCCGCGGUAAUACGGAGGAUCCAAGCGUUAUCCGGAAUCAUUGGGUUUAAAGGGUCCGUAGGCGGUUUGGUAAGUCAGUGGUGAAAGCCCGCAGCUCAACUGUGGAACGGCCAUUGAUACUGCCAGACUUGAAUUACAAGGAAGUAACUAGAAUAUGUAGUGUAGCGGUGAAAUGCUUAGAUAUUACAUGGAAUACCAAUUGCGAAGGCAGGUUACUACUUGUGGAUUGACGCUGAUGGACGAAAGCGUGGGGAGCGAACAGGAUUAGAUACCCUGGUAGUCCACGCCGUAAACGAUGGAUACUAGCUGUUGGGGGCAACUUCAGUGGCUAAGCGAAAGUGAUAAGUAUCCCACCUGGGGAGUACGUUCGCAAGAAUGAAACUCAAAGGAAUUGACGGGGGCCCGCACAAGCGGUGGAGCAUGUGGUUUAAUUCGAUGAUACGCGAGGAACCUUACCAAGGCUUAAAUGUAGAUUGACAGGUUUGGAAACAGACUUUUCUUCGGACAAUUUACAAGGUGCUGCAUGGUUGUCGUCAGCUCGUGCCGUGAGGUGUCAGGUUAAGUCCUAUAACGAGCGCAACCC